This 90-nucleotide ribosomal RNA is filed under the name Bifidobacterium longum. The record is from RNAcentral. Lineage: Bacteria; Bacillati; Actinomycetota; Actinomycetes; Bifidobacteriales; Bifidobacteriaceae.
CAGGUGAGACGCCCGGUCCCAUUCCGAACCCGGAAGCUAAGGCCUGGCACGGCGAUGGUACUGCACCCGACAGGGUGUGGGAGAGUAGCA